This 340-nucleotide ribosomal RNA is filed under the name uncultured eukaryote. RNAcentral's name for it is "partial 18S ribosomal RNA". It matches the Rfam family "Eukaryotic small subunit ribosomal RNA", at positions 1470 to 1796 of the family's 1831-position model. The record is from RNAcentral.
CCCUUAGAUGUUCGGGGCCGCACGCGCGCUACACUGAAGGACUCAGCGUGUCUCUCCCCCUAUCCCGAAAGGGAUGGGCAACCCGUUGAACCUCCUUCGUGCUAGGGAUUGGGGUUUGCAAUUAUCCCCCAUGAACGAGGAAUUCCCAGUAAGCGCGAGUCAUCAGCUCGCGUUGAUUACGUCCCUGCCCUUUGUACACACCGCCCGUCGCUACUACCGAUUGGAUGGUUUAGUGAGACCCUCGGAUCGGUCCCGACUCGGGGUGGGCUUCUGCCCCGGUCGUGGUUUCGCCGAGAAGACGGUCAAACUUGACUACCUAGAGGAAGUAAAAGUCGUAACA